RNAcentral lists this unclassified non-coding RNA (459 nucleotides) under Hevea brasiliensis (rubber tree). The record is from RNAcentral. Lineage: Eukaryota; Viridiplantae; Streptophyta; Magnoliopsida; Malpighiales; Euphorbiaceae.
CUGAUAAUUCCAGACCUUGGUUUUUAGAUAAUUGAUUUUAUGGUCUAGGACAUUUCUUGGAGGCGUUUUGUUGGGAUCUUAACGGAUUUUUACCUAUAUUAUUCUUCUUUGACCAUUUUGACUUGAGGAUUGAGAUUGGUCCACUCCCCUUUAAGAUAUGGGGAGAAGGGUCAAAAGAAACGAGUGUUCCUGAAAUUGUUCUAUGUUGACGAAGUUUUCUUCGUGUGAUGUGAUUUCGGAUAAAGAAUUAGCGUUGUGAGAUAUUCUCAAAGAAACCGUGGGUUGAAGAUGGAUUUCUUCAAAGUAAAUAAGUUUAGAAAAGCCCACAAACCAGACCUAGAGAAGGAUUUAGAGGAUAAGCCUGUGGCACAGCCAGAGGAACCAAAGAAUGACAAUGCAGGUGGUGGUGGUGGUGGUCAUGUUGUGGGUAACAAGUCUGCUAAUGCUGAUGCUGUAGCU